This is a long non-coding RNA of Cornus florida, 3363 nucleotides long. RefSeq lists it as uncharacterized. The transcript is spliced from 2 exons. The record is from RefSeq and is a predicted model, not a curated record. Lineage: Eukaryota; Viridiplantae; Streptophyta; Magnoliopsida; Cornales; Cornaceae.
UUUGAUUUUAUUUCCAUUUAUUAUUAUUAUUAUUAUUAUUAUUAUUAUUAUUUCAUUUUAGUUUUGCUUUAUUCAAAAAAAAAAAAAAAAAAAAAAUAGUACUAGUUCGUAUAGGUUGCUUUGUGAUUUUAUUUUAAUUUUAUUUAUUUAUUUGUUUAUUAUUAUUAUUAUUAUUAUUAUUUAUUAUUAUUAUUAUUAUUAUUAUUUUAUUUUAUUUUAGUGUAUAUAUGUUUUUUAGUUUUGCUUCAAAAAAUAAAAAUAAAAAAAUAAAACAAAACAAUCUAUGGGACACAAUGGGAGGUCAAUCCCAUACUUUGAGAGCAACAAAAAAAAAAAAAAAAGGCUCAUGUGGAUCAAUUCCCCAACCAUCCAUGGGGAUCAAUCCCUUUUCACUUUUUCAUUUUUUUUUUUUUUUUACAUAAAAUUUACGAUCCCUCACUUAUGGUGAUCGAACCCCUAGCUUGCCCUCGAUGCCUCCAUGCCCAAACAAAAUUCUUUUUCUUUCCCCAAAAAUCUCUAAACCCAAUUUCAUCGUCCAACCCUCACGGUUGGCUCUUCUCUUCCGCGGUGUCGUAGGCCUUCAAUUCCGGCGCCAUGCCUCUCGGCCUUUGCUUUGCUUUGCCAGUUUGAGACUCAGUUCUUUCUUCUUCUUUUCCAGCGGCUUUGCUUUCCUUUGUAAAACGCUGUUGGGUGCGAUUACAAGGGUGGGGUUGCCGUUCCUGAAAAACAGCAGCGCCGACAGCGGGAUUUCAACAGCGUCGCGGCUGGGUCAUUUAACGGCGUCAGAUCUGGGUUCUCUCCAGCGAUCUCAGCUGGGUUUUCUCCGGAUCGCGGCUGUUCGUCUUUCCGGAUCGCGGCUAUUCGUCUUUCCGGAUCGCGGCUGUUCGCUGUUCCUUUCGGCGUUAAGAUUGGUUUGUUCUUUCCAGCGCCAGCUGAGUUCCUUUCCGGUGAUUUUGACUGUGUUUCUCCAGCGAUUCCGGUGACUGUGUCAAAAUCACCGGAAUUUAACUGGGUUUCUCCGGCGGUUUUAACUGGGUUUCUCCGGCGUUUUUGACUGGGCUUUCUCCGGCGAGUUUGUGGGUCAAAAUAAAAAAAAACAGCAGCAGCAAUUUCUGGGUUCUUCUCCAGCGAUUUGCGGCUGGUUUUUCUCCGGCGUCGCGGCUGGGCUUUAUCUUUCCGGCGGGAUCGUGAUUCGCCCUUUAUUUUUCCGGCUCGUUCUUCUCUGAUUCCGGCUGGGUUCUUCCGGCGAGCUUGUGAAUCGCUGGUUUCUUCUCUGAUUCCGUCUGGGUUCUCCUCAGGCUACGAUUUGAGACUCGGCCUUGCUUCGUUUAAACAGCGCCCUUUGCUUCGCCCUUUAUUUUUCCAAUGUCACGGGUAAUGAAAAAGGAAACCGAUCAUGCUGCGCCAACGGUUAGCUGCGUUAAAUUCCGGCCAUGGUUCUGAGUUCUUCUCCACCGACGGUUUGAGGUCAAUAAGGUUCAAAUUGACUAAUUUCGGUUCAUUAAAGCCUUUUUGGAGACAAGCAAAGACAUUCGGAAAAAGUUCAGAAAAUGGCAAAAAGAGGUUGCAACCCAUUGUUCGUAUUAGGGCUGCAAGUUGGGUUGGCCCAACCUAGCCCAACCCGAACCCAACUUUAACCCGAAUCGGGUUGGGUUGGGCCAACCUGAAUUGUACUUAACAUAGGUUGGGUCAUAACCAGGAUCGAAUAUUUUCGGGCGGGUUGGGUCGGGUUGACAGGUUAAUUUUUUUUUUUUUUUUUCGAAAAUUUAUAUAAAUAUUAUAUAUAUGUGUAUAUUAUAUAUAUUUAAUUAUAUUAUUAUUAAAAAUAUAUAUAUUUUUAGGGCAAAUCAUUUCAGCCUCCCUCAAUUACCUUCAUCUCUAUUCUCAUUCUUUAACUCUGAAAUUGCUCUCUCUCUCUCUUGCGCAACUACAAAAUCAACAAGAAUCAGAAGUUCAAAACCUAUAUAUUUCAAUUUAUCUAUCUGUCUGCUAGAAUCUAAAGUUCAAAACCUAAUACCUAUAUCAAAACCCAUAUCGGCAUAUCAUUUCAAAUUGUUCAAAAAAUCAAAACCCAUUUCAGAUUCAACUGCUCGUCGUUUUCGUCGCCGUUGUCGGCGAUGAAUUGUUUCUAAUUCUCGAAGACGAAAGCGAUUCUUGGAGAUGCCCAAAAAGCAUAUCAACCACAGUUUGAGAAGAUCGAGGAGCACAAUUUCUGCAUGAAUCCCUCUUAGAUCAAGUACAAUUUAAUCACCAUGAAUCCCUCUCAAAUCAAGAACAGAAGAAGAAGAGACUCCCAUGGCUAUGGCGAGUGACGAAGAUACGAUAGAGAAUUGUUUGGUUCUCCUCUGCAUCGAAGUUGUGUCGUACUAUAGAAAGAGGAGAGAAAGAGAAAGAGAAAGAGAAAGAGGAGAGAAAAAAAAAAAAAAAAAUGGGUUUCGGGUUGGGUUCGGGUUAAGCCCGAGCCCAAUCCGAAUGUGUCCGGGUUUUGACAAAACCCAACCCGAACAUGAACCUCAUUUGUGAAUAUAAGCCCCAAUUUUAAAAUUUCUAGGCUGGGCUUGGGUUGGGCUGGGUUAGCCCGCCCAAGUUGCAGCCCUAGUUCGUAUAAUGUGUUCAUCCUUCAAAAGCAGUCAAUUCUACCUUUUUCGGGCAUUUGAUGAUGUUCCCAAAUAUCAAGAAGCAAACCAAUGAGCUCGGGGCCAAAAUGGAGCUAAAUAAAGCUUACAGGAAAUUUCCAAGCCUGGGGGAUCGAUCCCCCACUAUUCACAGAACUAAAAAUGCCCUUGGGGGAUCGAUCCCCAAGGCUCGGGGAUCGAUCCCCCAGCACCUGGUAGCAUUACGGGAUUUAUGUUUUGAUGGCUACGGGAUUUUGUCUUUUGAGCUUAUUUUUGUAACUCAUGGGCUUUAAUAGAGUUUGUUACUUAAGGUAAAUAAGCCCAUUCUUUUUAGAGUUAGUUUUUCAUUAUAUUAACUAGUGAAUAUUAUUUUAUUAUUAUUAAGUUUUAUUUUUUAGUUUGUAUCGUGAUAUUAUAUUCUCUCUGGAAAAACACACGAAAGAGGAGAAACGAAGAACGGGCUAGGGUUUGGAAGAGGAAGCUCAAAGAUGAUGAAGCAGAUGAUAGAGAUUGUUCCGUCUUCAAAUUCGUCAAUCAUGAGUGGCUGAUUCUUCUACUUAAGGUUGGAUAAACCAUAAGCAUGUAACCUAAUCUCUCUCUUUUCACUUUUUGGGGAUGAAUUUGUGUAAUUAGUGUUUAGCCUUGAAUGUUUAUGAAUAAAUUCUUCCAUUUGAUUAUCUAUGUCAAUAUUAUGUUGUCUUAUGUGUGUUUGAUUGUUGAUCAAGUUCUACACUUGAAUUCUUGUUAA